GCAAGCCUGCUUGAAUUGGGUUGCUGUC
Molecule: non-coding RNA, 28 nt
Filed under: Rattus norvegicus (Norway rat)
Lineage: Eukaryota; Metazoa; Chordata; Mammalia; Rodentia; Muridae
Source: RNAcentral